UACGUAGGGUGCGAGCGUUAAUCGGAAUUACUGGGCGUAAAGGGCGCGUAGGCGGCCUGCUAAGUCGAACGUGAAAUCCCCGAGCUCAACUCGGGAACUGCGUCCGAUACUGGCAGGCUUGAAUCCGGGAGAGGGAUGCGGAAUUCCAGGUGUAGCGGUGAAAUGCGUAGAUAUCUGGAGGAACACCGGUGGCGAAGGCGGCAACCUGGACCGGCAUUGACGCUGAGGCGCGAAAGCCAGGGGAGCAAACGGG
This 253-nucleotide ribosomal RNA is filed under the name uncultured bacterium. RNAcentral's name for it is "partial 16S ribosomal RNA". It matches the Rfam family "Bacterial small subunit ribosomal RNA", at positions 524 to 776 of the family's 1533-position model. The record is from RNAcentral.